AGAGAAAGUAAGACGACUGAAUUAUAGGGUUUUUAAGCAUGCGUUUUGCUAAUGCUGUCAUUAUUACUAUCGAUUAGAGUCUCGUAGCUCAGCCGGUUAGAGCGCUACACUGAUAAUGUAGAGGUCGGCAGUUCGAGUCUGCCCGAGACUACAACGAUAAAGGGAAUUUAUAGUUGAGAGUUCUACAUUUUGAAUUCUUUUCAGAUUCAGAAUGGGGAAUUAGCUCAGCUGGCUAGAGCACUUGAUUUGCAUUCAAGAGGUCGUGGGUUCGACUCCCACAUUCUCCACAAGUUUUUAACUUAAACGAUCAUUGACAUAUUGAAAAUUUUUAUUUCACAAACACCAGUUAUCCAAUUUGUGUUUGUGAAUAUAGAUACACUACAAGGUAUAAAUUGGUUUUUACCAAUUUGUACGAAGGUAUGAAUUGGUUUUUACCAAUUUGUACGAGCAUAAUAAUAAAUACAAUUUCAAAGAAAAGUAAAGUUAC
RNAcentral lists this transfer RNA (487 nucleotides) under uncultured Flavobacteriaceae bacterium. RNAcentral describes it as "16S-23S ribosomal RNA intergenic spacer". The stretch from base 78 to 151 matches the Rfam family "tRNA". The record is from RNAcentral. Lineage: Bacteria; Pseudomonadati; Bacteroidota; Flavobacteriia; Flavobacteriales; Flavobacteriaceae.